Molecule: transfer RNA, 83 nt
Filed under: Canis lupus familiaris (dog)
Lineage: Eukaryota; Metazoa; Chordata; Mammalia; Carnivora; Canidae
Also listed under: 1 other name
Rfam family: tRNA
About the family: Transfer RNA (tRNA) molecules are approximately 80 nucleotides in length. Their secondary structure includes four short double-helical elements and three loops (D, anti-codon, and T loops).
Source: Rfam by way of RNAcentral
GCCCAGGUGGCUCAGUGGUUUAGCACCUGCCUUCAGCCCAGGGCCUGAUGCUAGAGACCUGGGAUCGAGUCCCACCUUGGGCC